AUGGUACUCCCUCCGUCCCAAAAUUCUUAUCUUAUAUUUAUCUAGAACGUGACUUGAUACAUCCGUAUUUAGACAAAUCUAGGACAAGAAUUUUGGGACAGAUGGAGUAUAAU
Triticum aestivum (bread wheat) is the source of this 113-nucleotide non-coding RNA. The record is from Rfam. NCBI's taxonomy places the organism in Eukaryota, Viridiplantae, Streptophyta, Magnoliopsida, Poales, Poaceae.